AGAGUUUGAUCAUGGCUCAGGAUGAACGCUGGCGGCGUAGCUUAACACAUGCAAGUCGAACGAAGCAACUACCUUGCUUGCAAGAGAGUUGACUUAGUGGCGGACGGGUGAGUAACGCGUGGGUAACCUGCCUCAUACAGGGGGAUAACAGUUGGAAACGACUGCUAAGACCGCAUAACCCGCUAGUGUCGCAUGACACGGACGGAAAAUAUUUAUAGGUAUGAGAUGGGCCCGCGUCUGAUUAGCUAGUUGGUAAGGUAACGGCUUACCAAGGCGACGAUCAGUAGCCGACUUGAGAGAGUGAUCGGCCACAUUGGGACUGAGACACGGCCCAAACUCCUACGGGAGGCAGCAGUGGGGAAUAUUGGACAAUGGGGGAAACCCUGAUCCAGCGAACCGCCGCGUGAGUGAAGAAGUAUUUCGGUAUGUAAAGCUCUAUCAGCAGGGAAGAUAAUGACAGUACCUGACUAAGAAGCCCCGGCUAACUACGUGCCAGCAGCCGC
This 503-nucleotide ribosomal RNA is filed under the name uncultured bacterium. RNAcentral describes it as "bacterial SSU rRNA". It matches the Rfam family "Bacterial small subunit ribosomal RNA", at positions 8 to 518 of the family's 1533-position model. The record is from RNAcentral.